UGGGGAAUAUUGCACAAUGGGCGCAAGCCUGAUGCAGCCAUGCCGCGUGUGUGAAGAAGGCCUUCGGGUUGUAAAGCACUUUCAGCGGGGAGGAAGGCGGUGAGGUUAAUAACCUCAUCGAUUGACGUUACCCGCAGAAGAAGCACCGGCUAACUCCGUGCCAGCAGCCGCGGUAAUACGGAGGGUGCAAGCGUUAAUCGGAAUUACUGGGCGUAAAGCGCACGCAGGCGGUCUGUCAAGUCGGAUGUGAAAUCCCCGGGCUCAACCUGGGAACUGCAUUCGAAACUGGCAGGCUAGAGUCUUGUAGAGGGGGGUAGAAUUCCAGGUGUAGCGGUGAAAUGCGUAGAGAUCUGGAGGAAUACCGGUGGCGAAGGCGGCCCCCUGGACAAAGACUGACGCUUAGGUGCGAAAGCGUGGGGAGCAAACAGG
This 429-nucleotide ribosomal RNA is filed under the name Chloroflexota bacterium. RNAcentral's name for it is "Chloroflexi bacterium partial 16S ribosomal RNA". It matches the Rfam family "Bacterial small subunit ribosomal RNA", at positions 355 to 776 of the family's 1533-position model. The record is from RNAcentral. Lineage: Bacteria; Bacillati; Chloroflexota.